AGAGAGAGACAUGCGCGCAUAUCAAUAAGCGGAGGAAAAGAAACUAACAAGGAUUCCCUUAGUAACGGCGAGUGAAGCGGGAAGAGCUCAAAUUUGAAAUCUUCAAGGUUUUACCUUGACGAAUUGUAGGUUUAAAGAAGUGUUUUCUGCUGAAGUUUUGGUAAAAGUUCUUUGGAAUAGGACAUCAUAGAGGGUGAGAAUCCCGUAUUUGACCAUUAUUUUCAGCUUUGUGAUACACUUUCAAAGAGUCGGAUUGUUUGGGAAUGCAGUCCAAAAUGGGUGGUAAAUUUCAUCUAAAGCUAAAUAUUGGCGAGAGACCGAUAGCGAACAAGUACCGUGAGGGAAAGAUGAAAAGAACUUUGAAAAGAGAGUUAAACAGUACGUGAAAUUGUCAAAAGGGAAGCGUUUGACACCAGUGUUGUUUUCUCGAAAAUCAAUUAAAAAUGGCUCGAUUUUGUAUUGCUUGAGACCUUAAAAGCUCACUGUACAUUUUUCGUGUCUUUUUUAAUGCACUUUUCGUUUAACAAGUCAACAUCAGUUUCUUUUGUUGUAAAAGGGUCAUUGGAAGGUGGCUUUCUUUUCGGAGAAAGUGUUUAUAGCCUUUGGCCUCUGCAAUCGGAGAGACUGAGGUCUGCAGCGUAGACUCUUCGGGGUUAGAUACAUUUGUGCUAAGUUAUAGCUUUUUAUAGACAACUUGUUGACUAUAAUUAGUCUUGUAGCUUACUCGCUUAUGCUAUUUUACCUACGCUUAGGAUGUUGAAGAUGUAGCACAUCAU
Molecule: ribosomal RNA, 776 nt
Filed under: uncultured Neocallimastigales
Lineage: Eukaryota; Fungi; Neocallimastigomycota; Neocallimastigomycetes; Neocallimastigales
Description: partial large subunit ribosomal RNA
Rfam family: Eukaryotic large subunit ribosomal RNA
Source: RNAcentral